GCCCCAUCUAUACCACAUCCUCCGUCACCACAGGACAUGAUGAAGAGACACAGAUGAGCCCAUAACCUCAGUUGACGCCCACGGUCUCUGCUUAUGGAUCUGUUUGCCCUGGUGCAUCCAGCCCUGGUGACUCCAGAUGAGUAGCAUUUUUUUAUAGUUGAAGAAACCUGAGGGAUGAAAGGAGGCACAUGCUGCCGUGCACUGUGGAGGUCAGAAGACGACUGUUACGAGUGAAUUCUAUCCUUCUGCGUUGUGGGUCUCAGUGAUCAAACUUGGACCAUCCGGCUGGGUAGCAAGCACCUUUACCCACUGAGCCCGCUGUCUUCAUCUCUGCAUCCUGACUUCUAUUUUCACUGCCAUAGACAACCAGGCUCCUCGGGUUUACCAAAUAUUCCCUACCUGGCAAUCGAUGGGCUUCUGACCUCACUCUUACUCAUAUCUGUAAAGUUUGAUCCCUGUGUCCAUCUCAUGAUUAUUUACCAUACCCCGGUAUUUGUUAGCCCCUCACUAAUCUCACAAAUACAUUGAACA
Molecule: long non-coding RNA, 531 nt
Organism: Mus musculus (house mouse)
Lineage: Eukaryota; Metazoa; Chordata; Mammalia; Rodentia; Muridae
Product: predicted gene, 41768
Exons: 3
Source: RefSeq, a predicted model, not a curated record